RNAcentral lists this ribosomal RNA (405 nucleotides) under uncultured bacterium. RNAcentral describes it as "bacterial SSU rRNA". It matches the Rfam family "Bacterial small subunit ribosomal RNA", at positions 356 to 773 of the family's 1533-position model. The record is from RNAcentral.
GGGGAAUAUUGCACAAUGGGCGCAAGCCUGAUGCAGCAACGCCGCGUGAGGGAUGACGGCCUUCGGGUUGUAAACCUCUUUUAGCAGGGAAGAAGCGUAAGUGACGGUUCCUGCAGAAAAAGCACAGGCUAACUACGUGCCAGCAGCCGCGGUAAUACGUAGGGUGCAAGCGUUGUCCGGAAUUAUUGGGCGUAAAGAGCUCGUAGGCGGCUUGUCGCGUCUGCUGUGAAAACCCGGAGCUCAACUCCGGGCCUGCAGUGGGUACGGGCAGGCUAGAGUGCGGUAGGGGAGAUUGGAAUUCCUGGUGUAGCGGUGGAAUGCGCAGAUAUCAGGAGGAACACCGAUGGCGAAGGCAGAUCUCCGGGCCGCUACUGACGCUGAGGAGCGAAAGCAUGGGGAGCGAAC